Molecule: long non-coding RNA, 766 nt
Organism: Dromiciops gliroides (monito del monte)
Lineage: Eukaryota; Metazoa; Chordata; Mammalia; Microbiotheria; Microbiotheriidae
Exons: 2
Source: RefSeq, a predicted model, not a curated record
UUUAAGGACAGCUAGGUUGUCAGGUGGGUAGAAUGCCAGGCCUGGAGUCAGGAAGACCUGAGUUCAAAUGUGACCUCAGAAACUUCCUAGCUGUGUGACCCUUGAGCAAGUCACAACCCUGUUGGUCUCAGUUUCCUCAUCUUAGGUCCUGAAGAGUUGGACAAGACUGAAACAGCUGAAUUCUGCGCAUCUAUGACAUUUGAAUUUGAAAUAGAGCUGAGGGUUGUCAUCUGGGAAGAAGAGAAGCCUGGCCCUUUCCUAAUUCAGUUUUGGGCUGGGCCACGGCAAGGACUUAGUCCCUGCCCUGGAUGUCUGCUAACGUGAAAAUGAUGAGGCUUCCAGCCUUUUGGCGACUGCCUUGUAGGAAUUCUGAAGUUUUCUUCAUUACAGACAAGGCCUCCUCAAGACCCAGAUACCAAGUUUCAGCUAUUGAGUUUUCAAGAGUGGAAUUGGAUUUAUGCUCUGUAUAUUUAAAACUAAAGCAAAUUGAUAGAUGAUAAAACAAGAACAAGAACAAGAACAAGAACAAGCACUUUUCCCUUUUGCUUUCUGUAUUUUCAGGUGUUUGAGGUCUUUUAUCACAUAUCUGGUAGUAAUUCAUGACCAAAAGCCCUUAGGGCCUUUGUGUAUUAUGGUCCACCAGCCCUGAAAUUCAGCUGUCCCUUUUGAAAGAUAACAGGCCUUUAGGCAGUGUUCACCCCAUUGUCAAAUCCUCUGCUUGUAGUAGGUGUUCAAUAAAUCUUUGGUUGAUUGCUGAUAGCAAUUA